GCGGUAAUAGUUUAAGGGUAAAACUUUAGCCUUCCAAGCUAAUGUUACGAGUUCGAUUCUCGUUUACCGCUCCA
RNAcentral lists this transfer RNA (74 nucleotides) under Caudoviricetes sp. RNAcentral describes it as "tRNA-Gly". It matches the Rfam family "tRNA". Rfam says of the family: Transfer RNA (tRNA) molecules are approximately 80 nucleotides in length. Lineage: Duplodnaviria; Heunggongvirae; Uroviricota; Caudoviricetes. The record is from RNAcentral.